UGCAGCCGGGGAGAUAGCGGUGCCCUGUACCUGCAAUCCGCUACAGCAGGGGUGAUGUUUGAGCUGAGGGCUUUGAUCUGUAGAGCUGCCCGCUGUAAGCGGCGUUGACGUCUGGGUCUCGCGCAACAGGAACCGGUGAACCGUGUCAGGUCAGGAAUGGAGCAGCACUAAGCCGGACCUUCUGUGUGCCGUGAGGGUGCCUGGGCUGAGCUGGCUGCAGCGGUAACGUCUGGGGGUCGGGUUCGAAG
Molecule: signal recognition particle RNA, 248 nt
Filed under: bovine gut metagenome
Description: Bacterial large signal recognition particle RNA
Rfam family: Bacterial large signal recognition particle RNA
About the family: The signal recognition particle (SRP) is a universally conserved ribonucleoprotein involved in the co-translational targeting of proteins to membranes. Archaeal SRP consists of a 7S RNA and homologues of the eukaryotic SRP19 and SRP54 proteins. In most bacteria, the SRP consists of a 4.5S RNA and the Ffh protein (a homologue of the eukaryotic SRP54 protein).
Source: RNAcentral